UGGGGGAUAUUGCACAAUGGGCGAAAGCCUGAUGCAGCGACGCCGCGUGGGGGAUGAAGGCCUUCGGGUUGUAAACUUCUUUUGCUCUGAACAAGGCAUGCCUUUGGGGUGUGUUGAGUGUAGGGGUUGAUUAGCGCCGGCUAACUACGUGCCAGCAGCCGCGGUAAUACGUAGGGCGCGAGCGUUGUCCGGAAUUAUUGGGCGUAAAGGGCUUGUAGGUGGCUGGUUGCGUCUGUCGUGAAAGCUCAUGGCUUAACUGUGGGUUUGCGGUGGGUACGGGCUGGCUUGAGUGCAGUAGGGGAGGCUGGAAUUCCUGGUGUAGCGGUGGAAUGCGCAGAUAUCAGGAGGAAUACCGGUGGCGAAGGCGGGUCUCUGGACCUUUCCUGACGCUGAGAAGCGAAAGCGUGGGUAGCAAACAGG
RNAcentral lists this ribosomal RNA (420 nucleotides) under Fusobacteriota bacterium. Its description in RNAcentral is "Fusobacteria bacterium partial 16S ribosomal RNA". It matches the Rfam family "Bacterial small subunit ribosomal RNA", at positions 355 to 776 of the family's 1533-position model. The record is from RNAcentral. Lineage: Bacteria; Fusobacteriati; Fusobacteriota.